AUUGAACGCUGGCGGCAUGCCUUACACAUGCAAGUCGAACGGUAACGCGGGGCAACCUGGCGACGAGUGGCGAACGGGUGAGUAAUAUAUCGGAACGUGCCCAGUAGUGGGGGAUAGCCCGGCGAAAGCCGGAUUAAUACCGCAUACGACCUACGGGUGAAAGCGGGGGAUCGCAAGACCUCGCGCUAUUGGAGCGGCCGAUAUCAGAUUAGCUUGUUGGUGGGGUAAAAGCCCACCAAGGCGACGAUCUGUAGCUGGUCUGAGAGGACGACCAGCCACACUGGGACUGAGACACGGCCCAGACUCCUACGGGAGGCAGCAGUGGGGAAUUUUGGACAAUGGGCGCAAGCCUGAUCCAGCCAUGCCGCGUGCGGGAAGAAGGCCUUCGGGUUGUAACUAGCUUUGUACGGAACGAACAAGCUCUUCUAAUACAGAGGGCGAAUGACGGUACCGUAAGAAUAA
RNAcentral lists this ribosomal RNA (462 nucleotides) under uncultured bacterium. Its description in RNAcentral is "bacterial SSU rRNA". It matches the Rfam family "Bacterial small subunit ribosomal RNA", at positions 30 to 489 of the family's 1533-position model. The record is from RNAcentral.